UUUUCGUGGCCUGAUUCCCAAACACCUGGUUUGCAUGGCAACAAAGUCUAAUAAAGGUUAAGGAGACUUGGUGAAUUUAAAUUUAAAACAUGCUUCAGUAACUUUUAAUUUAAAGGAGUUACUUGAGUUUUAUGCUGGUGCAAUAAAGGCUGAAUUUAUUAGAAAGUAUUUUACCUCUCUACCGGGGGUGCCUAUAUAUGGCCAGCACAGCAGGAAGACAUGACUUCUAACUGAACUUCACAGAUUUAUUUGGACCGUAAUGAAGACGCGACGGGCCCCGGGCUGUAACCGACGGCGACAGGAUGACACUGAUGAAUGGCUGAAGCCAAGGACAAAUCGACUGAGUCGACUCAAUGCUUCAAGCCUGGCAGCUUCCUGUCGUGCUGUCAAUCAAUGAAUCCAUACGAAGUCUGUCUCAUGCGGGGCUGACAGAGUGUGGCGCAGCACUUUGUGAACAGCGCAGAAAGACAUGUACACAUCAUAAACAACAGUUAGGAAGAAAUCUGACAGCCUGCUUGACGAACUUCUCACUCAACAACAGCUAUUCUGAAAAUACAUGAAGUUGUUUUUUUGUGGAAAUACAGAGUAAAAAAUAAAGCAUCUGCUUUUAUUAUUGAGA
Long non-coding RNA from Girardinichthys multiradiatus, 619 nucleotides. RefSeq lists it as uncharacterized. The record is from RefSeq and is a predicted model, not a curated record. The transcript is spliced from 4 exons. Lineage: Eukaryota; Metazoa; Chordata; Actinopteri; Cyprinodontiformes; Goodeidae.